GUGCCAGCAGCCGCGGUAAGACGAACCGUGCGAACGUUGUUCGGAAUCACUGGGCUUAAAGGGCGCGUAGGCGGCUCGCGAGGUCGGGGGUGAAAUCCCACGGCUUAACCGUGGAAGGGCCUUCGAUACCGGCGGGCUGGAGGAAGGUAGGGGUGCGCGGAACUUCUGGUGGAGCGGUGAAAUGCGUUGAUAUCAGAAGGAACGCCGGCGGCGAAAGCGGCGCACUGGACCUUUUCUGACGCUGAGGCGCGAAAGCCAGGGGAGCAAACGGGAUUAGAUACCCCAGUAGUCC
RNAcentral lists this ribosomal RNA (292 nucleotides) under uncultured bacterium. Its description in RNAcentral is "partial 16S ribosomal RNA". It matches the Rfam family "Bacterial small subunit ribosomal RNA", at positions 505 to 796 of the family's 1533-position model. The record is from RNAcentral.